This is a long non-coding RNA of Carassius carassius (crucian carp), 434 nucleotides long. RefSeq lists it as uncharacterized. The record is from RefSeq and is a predicted model, not a curated record. NCBI's taxonomy places the organism in Eukaryota, Metazoa, Chordata, Actinopteri, Cypriniformes, Cyprinidae. The transcript is spliced from 3 exons.
GCUUUAAACGGUUUGCAUCUCCAAUACGCAUUAAUCCACAAAUGACUUAAGCGGUUAACUUUUUUAACGUGGCUGACACUCCCUCUGAACAGGGCCGUGCAGAGACCUUUGGAGGGGCAGGUGCUCAAAGUAUAAAAGGGGCACAUGGAACAAGGCUUUAAAUGGCGCUGUUCAAAAUAUCAAUACAGCAAUAUAUUCAGCAAAUGCUUUGAUGCAGUUUUGAAAAAGAAAUAAUAGAGAAGACAAUUUUAAGUUUAAAAUAAUAAUAGCUCUGGGAUUAGAAACUGAAAUGUCUUAAAUUGUCCCAACCUGAUGGCGCUCAAUUUACUAUUUCAGCAUUAAUCUAUUAUUUUAACCAUCACUACUACUCUUACACCUAAUCAAUAAGUCCACCUUAAAUAUUGAUACAAAACAUAAAAAAACUGAUACACUGG